RNAcentral lists this long non-coding RNA (1243 nucleotides) under Piliocolobus tephrosceles (Ugandan red Colobus). Its description in RNAcentral is "lncRNA (ENSPTEG00000014227.1)". The record is from RNAcentral. Lineage: Eukaryota; Metazoa; Chordata; Mammalia; Primates; Cercopithecidae.
UAUAAUUAUUUAAGUUUUUAAUUAAUUAUAUUCAUAUAUAUACAUAUAGGGCAUACAUGAAAUGUAAGGUUAUGUGAAGCCUGUUUGGUUUGAUUUUUUUUUCUUUUUUUUUUUUUUUUUACUUACACGAAUAUGUAAAAGUAACAAAAACAAUAAAAAAAUAAAAAACAAAAUAUUUAAAAUAAUUUUUCAAAAUGUAAUGUAUUAGUGAAAUGAAACUAAUUAAGAAGAGUAAAUAAUAAAACAUGUUCCAUUUAUACAUAUAUAAACAUACAUAUAUACACGUUAGUUACUGGUAUAUUGAAAAAUUUCCCUCGUAAUGAGCAAAUAUACAUAUUUAACUUAGGUAUACAUAUAUAUUAUUAUAUUCAUAAUAUAUAUAUUAUAAGUUUUUUAAAAAAAAAACAAAAAAAAAAAUAUAUAUAUAUAUAUAUAUAUAUAUAUUCCCAUUUUAUAUUGAGUAUAAAACUUUUAAAUGAGACCUUUAUAGUAAGUUUAUUUAACCCAUUCAAAUAUUAUUAUUUUUUCAAGUAAGAAAAGAAGAAGUUGCAUCUAAAUGGCAGGUGGGGGAGCGUUAAAUAAUUUAUUUCCUGGUUAUAAGGAUAAAAUAUGGAUGAAGCUUCCUUACCAAGUCCGAGUUUAUUUAAUAAAAGCCUGGAACAAAGAGUUUGAGCACAAUGUAUAUAAAGCGAAGAUAAAAAAUGAUAAUAUAAAAAAUUUGAACUAUUAUAUAUUAGAUAGAUUUAAACCAAGUGAUAAAUACAAAAAUAGUCACACAGAUUAUAAAAGACAAAUAUGUAGAGGGACGUUAGAAGAAGGAUGUGAUUUUUAUUUACCAGAUAAAACAAAACAAGAUAGAUUAAAAAAUCAUUUAGAACCAUAUACAAAAGAAGAAUACGAAGAGAGAAAAAAAUAUAAAUAUUAUGAUUUAAAAUAUUAUAUAUUAUUUGCUUUGGGUUUUUCAAUAAUACAUAAUAGUAUGCAAUCAAGACCUGUUGCAUGGUGUAUGGAUUAUGAACCUCCACAUACACCGCAUUAUCCAUUUUGGUUUAAAUCAGUUUUCCAUUCGCAUGAUAUACCAAGUGUAAGAAGAGGUUUUGAAGUAUAUAGACAAAUAUGUGCUACAUGUCAUUCAUUAGAACAAUUACAGUUUCGUAGUUUAGUAAAUGAAGUAUAUCCAGAACAACGUAUGAAAGAUAUAGCAGCGUCGUAUGACAUAGAAGAUGGUCCAGAUGAUAAAGGU